UGACUUUUUUCCUAGUCAAACAUUUUUAAGUUUGACCAAAUUUAUAGAGAAAUAUAGCAACAUUUCCAACACAAAACAAACAUAUUCAAUGUUAUAUUUAAUGAAACUAAUUUAGUGUUGUAGAUGUUGCUAAUUUUUUCUAUAAAUUUACUCAAAUCUAAAGAAGUUUGAUUAGAAAAAAAAAGUC
This 187-nucleotide microRNA precursor is filed under the name Oryza sativa Indica Group (long-grained rice). RNAcentral describes it as "MIR1435 microRNA precursor family". It matches the Rfam family "MIR1435 microRNA precursor family". Lineage: Eukaryota; Viridiplantae; Streptophyta; Magnoliopsida; Poales; Poaceae. The record is from Rfam by way of RNAcentral.